This 498-nucleotide ribosomal RNA is filed under the name uncultured bacterium. RNAcentral's name for it is "partial 16S ribosomal RNA". It matches the Rfam family "Bacterial small subunit ribosomal RNA", at positions 29 to 507 of the family's 1533-position model. The record is from RNAcentral.
AGCGAACGCUGGCGGCGUGCCUAACACAUGCAAGUCGAACGUGAAAAGGGAAACCUGAGUAAAGUGGCGUACGGGUGAGUAACGCGUAGGUAAUCUACCCCAGAAUCUGGAAUAACCUGCCGAAAGGCGGGCUAAUACUGAAUGGGGGGAGGGAACUCGAAGGGGGGUUUUUCGGGAAGGGGAGCCCGCAAGGGCCUUCGUUCUGGGUGGAGCCUGCGUCUCAUUAGCUAGUUGGUAAGGUAACGGCUUACCAAGGCGAUGAUGAGUAGCUGGUCUGAGAGGAUGAUCAGCCACACUGGAACUGAAACACGGUCCAGACUCCUACGGGAGGCAGCAGUGGGGAAUCUUGCGCAAUAGACGAAAGUCUGACGCAGCCACGCCGCGUGAGUGAAGAAGGCCUUCGGGUUGUAAAGCUCUGUCGGAUGGGACGAACAUCUUCAUAGUGAAUAGCUAUGAGGACUGACGGUACCAUCAAAGGAAGCACCGGCUAACUCCGUG